ACGGGGUGUGGGACCCGG
This 18-nucleotide microRNA is filed under the name Chlamydomonas reinhardtii. RNAcentral describes it as "cre-miR1151a-3p". The record is from miRBase by way of RNAcentral. Lineage: Eukaryota; Viridiplantae; Chlorophyta; Chlorophyceae; Chlamydomonadales; Chlamydomonadaceae.